GACAGAGGCCUCAAGCGUUAGGCGGAAUCACUGGGCUUAAAGCGUGUGUAGGCGGGUCGUUAAGUACCUUGUGAAAUCCCACGGCUCACCCGUGGAACUGCUGGGUAUACUGGCGAUCUUGGGCCAUUCAGGGGCAACUGGAACAAGCGGUGGAGCGGUGAAAUGCGUAGAUAUCAGGAAGAACACCCGUGGCGAAGGCGGCUCUCUGGGACGGUACUGACGGCUGAGACGCGAAAGCGUGGGGAGCGAACAGG
Molecule: ribosomal RNA, 254 nt
Filed under: uncultured bacterium
Lineage: Bacteria
Description: partial 16S ribosomal RNA
Rfam family: Bacterial small subunit ribosomal RNA
Source: RNAcentral